AUUGGAUGAGCCCGCGGCCUAUUAGCUAGUUGGUGGGGUAACGGCCUACCAAGGCGACGAUGGGUAGCCGGCCUGAGAGGGUGUACGGCCACACUGGCACUGAGAUACGGGCCAGACUCCUACGGGAGGCAGCAGUGGGGAAUUUUGCGCAAUGGGGGAAACCCUGACGCAGCAACGCCGCGUGAGCGAUGAAGGCCUUCGGGUCGUAAAGCUCUUUUAGUGGGGAAGAAUUCCACCCGGGCUAAUACCUCGGGUGUCUGACGGUACCCACAGAAAAAGUUCCGGCUAACUACGUGCCAGCAGCCGCGGCCGAAU
RNAcentral lists this ribosomal RNA (315 nucleotides) under uncultured actinomycete. Its description in RNAcentral is "bacterial SSU rRNA". It matches the Rfam family "Bacterial small subunit ribosomal RNA", at positions 220 to 526 of the family's 1533-position model. Lineage: Bacteria; Bacillati; Actinomycetota; Actinomycetes; Actinomycetales. The record is from RNAcentral.